CAGCACCUCAAGUGGUCAGGAUGAUUAUUGGGCCUAAAGCAUCCGUAGCCGGCGCUGUAAGUUUUCGGUUAAAUCUGUACGCUCAACGUACAGGCUGCCGGGAAUACUGCAGCGCUAGGGAGUGGGAGAGGUAGACGGUACUCGGUAGGAAGGGGUAAAAUCCUUUGAUCUAUUGAUGACCACCUGUGGCGAAGGCGGUCUACCAGAACACGUCCGACGGUGAGGGAUGAAAACUGGGGGAGCAAACCGGAUUAGAUACCCGAGUAGUCC
This 270-nucleotide ribosomal RNA is filed under the name uncultured archaeon. Its description in RNAcentral is "partial 16S ribosomal RNA". It matches the Rfam family "Archaeal small subunit ribosomal RNA", at positions 477 to 747 of the family's 1478-position model. The record is from RNAcentral.